GGGGCCAUAGCUCAGCUGGGAGAGCGCUACAUUCGCAUUGUAGAGGUCGCCGGUUCGAUCCCGGCUGGCUCCACCA
This 76-nucleotide transfer RNA is filed under the name Gammaproteobacteria bacterium. RNAcentral describes it as "tRNA-Ala". It matches the Rfam family "tRNA". From Rfam's summary of the family: Transfer RNA (tRNA) molecules are approximately 80 nucleotides in length. Their secondary structure includes four short double-helical elements and three loops (D, anti-codon, and T loops). RNAcentral also lists the same sequence under 1 other name. The record is from RNAcentral. Lineage: Bacteria; Pseudomonadati; Pseudomonadota; Gammaproteobacteria.